Molecule: ribosomal RNA, 274 nt
Filed under: uncultured bacterium
Lineage: Bacteria
Description: partial 16S ribosomal RNA
Rfam family: Bacterial small subunit ribosomal RNA
Source: RNAcentral
AUACGGAGGGUGCGAGCGUUAAUCGGAAUUACUGGGCGUAAAGGGUGCGUAGGCGGCUUGAUAAGUCGGAUGUGAAAGCCCCGGGCUUAACCUGGGAAUUGCAUUCGAUACUGUCAGGCUAGAGUAUGUCAGAGGUUGGCGGAAUUCCUGGUGUAGCGGUGAAAUGCGUAGAUAUCAGGAGGAACACCAGUGGCGAAGGCGGCUAACUGGGGCAAUACUGACGCUGAGGCACGAAAGCGUGGGGAGCAAACAGGAUUAGAAACCCGUGUAGUCC